AAGAUAUUAGUAAAAUAAAUUACAUCACUUUGUCAAGGUGAAACUGCAAGUUAAACUCUUGUGUAUCUUU
Molecule: transfer RNA, 70 nt
Filed under: Tanakia latimarginata
Lineage: Eukaryota; Metazoa; Chordata; Actinopteri; Cypriniformes; Acheilognathidae
Description: tRNA-Asp
Rfam family: tRNA
About the family: Transfer RNA (tRNA) molecules are approximately 80 nucleotides in length. Their secondary structure includes four short double-helical elements and three loops (D, anti-codon, and T loops).
Source: RNAcentral